CUACGGGCCGCAGCAGUGAGGAAUAUUGCACAAUGGGGGGAACCCUGAUGCAGCAACGCCGCGUGGAGGAUGACGCAUUUCGGUGUGUAAACUCCUUUUAUAUGUCAAGAAAAUGACGGUAGCAUAUGAAUAAGCACCGGCUAACUCCGUGCCAGCAGCCGCGGUAAUACGGAGAGGUGCAAGCGUUACUCGGAAUCACUGGGCGUAAAGGACGCGUAGGCGGGUUGGAAAGUCAGGUGUGAAAUCCUACAGCUUAACUGUAGAACUGCACUUGAAACUUCUAAUCUAGAGUAUGGAGGGGGAGAUGGAAUUAGUGGUGUAGGGGUAAAAUCCGUAGAUAUCACUAGGAAUACCUAAAGCGAAGGCGAUCUCCUGGAACAUUACUGACGCUAAGGCGUGAAAGCGUGGGGAGCAAACAGGAUUAGAUACCCGAGUAGUC
This 439-nucleotide ribosomal RNA is filed under the name uncultured bacterium. Its description in RNAcentral is "partial 16S ribosomal RNA". It matches the Rfam family "Bacterial small subunit ribosomal RNA", at positions 339 to 795 of the family's 1533-position model. The record is from RNAcentral.